RNAcentral lists this ribosomal RNA (474 nucleotides) under uncultured bacterium. RNAcentral describes it as "partial 16S ribosomal RNA". It matches the Rfam family "Bacterial small subunit ribosomal RNA", at positions 28 to 507 of the family's 1533-position model. The record is from RNAcentral.
GACGAACGCUGGCGGCGUGCUUAACACAUGCAAGUCGAGCGGUAAGGCUCCUUCGGGAGUACACGAGCGGCGAACGGGUGAGUAACACGUGAGUAAUCUGCCCUUCACUUCGGGAUAACCACCGGAAACGGUGGCUAAUACCGAAUACGACCAGUCUUCGCAUGAGGUGCUGGUGGAAAGUCUUUUCGGUGAAGGAUGUGCUCGCGGCCUAUCAGCUUGUUGGUGGGGUAAUGGCCUACCAAGGCUUCGACGGGUAGCCGGCCUGAGAGGGUGACCGGCCACACUGGGACUGAGACACGGCCCAGACUCCUACGGGAGGCAGCAGUGGGGAAUAUUGGACAAUGGGCGAAAGCCUGAUCCAGCAACGCCGCGUGAGGGAUGACGGCCUUCGGGUUGUAAACCUCUUUCAGUACCGACGAAGCGCCCUGUCGGGUGGUGACGGUAGGUACAGAAGAAGGACCGGCCAGCUACGUG